CCUACGGGAGGCAGCAGUAGGGAAUCUUCCACAAUGGACGAAAGUCUGAUGGAGCAACGCCGCGUGAGUGAAGAAGGGUUUCGGCUCGUAAAGCUCUGUUGGUAGUGAAGAAAGAUAGAGGUAGUAACUGGCCUUUAUUUGACGGUAAUUACUUAGAAAGUCAAGGCUAACUACGUGCCAGCAGCCGCGGUAAUACGUAGGUGGCAAGCGUUGUCCGGAUUUAUUGGGCGUAAAGGGAGUGCAGGCGGUUCAAUAAGUCUGAUGUGAAAGCCUUCGGCUCAACCGGAGAAUUGCAUCAGAAACUGUUGGACUUGAGUGCAGGAGAGGAGAGUGGAACUCCAUGUGUAGCGGUGGAAUGCGUAGAUAUAUGGAAGAACACCAGUGGCGAAGGCGGCUCUCUGGUCUGCAACUGACGCUGAGGCUCGAAAGCAUGGGUAGCGAACAGGAUUAGAUACCCCGGUAGUC
This 465-nucleotide ribosomal RNA is filed under the name uncultured bacterium. RNAcentral describes it as "partial 16S ribosomal RNA". It matches the Rfam family "Bacterial small subunit ribosomal RNA", at positions 338 to 795 of the family's 1533-position model. The record is from RNAcentral.